Molecule: ribosomal RNA, 253 nt
Filed under: uncultured bacterium
Lineage: Bacteria
Description: partial 16S ribosomal RNA
Rfam family: Bacterial small subunit ribosomal RNA
Source: RNAcentral
UACGUAGGGUGCGAGCGUUAAUCGGAAUUACUGGGCGUAAAGCGUGCGCAGGCGGUAAGUUAAGUCUGAUGUGAAAGCCCCGGGCUCAACCUGGGAAUGGCAUUGGAAACUGGCUUGCUAGAGUGUGGCAGAGGGGGGUGGAAUUCCGCGUGUAGCAGUGAAAUGCGUAGAGAUGCGGAGGAACACCGAUGGCGAAGGCAGCCCCCUGGGCUGACACUGACGCUCAGGCACGAAAGCGUGGGGAGCAAACAGG